UGGGGUUAUAUGGUCAAGCGAAUAAGCGCACACGGUGGAUGCCUAGGCGGUCAGAGGCGAUGAAGGACGUGGUAGCCUGCGAAAAGUGUCGGGGAGCUGGCAACAAGCUUUGAUCCGGCAAUAUCCGAAUGGGGAAACCCACUGCUUCGGCAGUAUCCUGCAGUGAAUUCAUAGCUGCUGGAAGCGAACCCCGA
This 194-nucleotide ribosomal RNA is filed under the name Xanthomonas hortorum pv. vitians. RNAcentral describes it as "Xanthomonas campestris pv. vitians partial 23S ribosomal RNA". It matches the Rfam family "Bacterial large subunit ribosomal RNA", at positions 1 to 189 of the family's 2925-position model. The record is from RNAcentral. Lineage: Bacteria; Pseudomonadati; Pseudomonadota; Gammaproteobacteria; Lysobacterales; Lysobacteraceae.